UACGGAGGGUGCAAGCGUUAUCCGGAUUCACUGGGUUUAAAGGGUGCGUAGGCGGGCAUUUAAGUCAGUGGUGAAAUACCUGAGCUUAACUUGGGAACUGCCAUUGAUACUAUUUGUCUUGAAUGUCGUGGAGGUUAGCGGAAUAUGUCAUGUAGCGGUGAAAUGCUUAGAUAUGACAUAGAACACCUAUUGCGAAGGCAGCUAGCUACACGAAUAUUGACACUGAUGCACGAAAGCGUGGGGAUCAAACAGG
Molecule: ribosomal RNA, 253 nt
Filed under: uncultured bacterium
Lineage: Bacteria
Description: partial 16S ribosomal RNA
Rfam family: Bacterial small subunit ribosomal RNA
Source: RNAcentral